UUUAUAGAUCAUCUUCCCCCUAGGUGGUGGUGGUCGGCGACAGCGGUGAAGGUGGAGGUAGGUGUUAGUGAGCGGGAGGCGGUGAGGGAGGAUUGCGGUGGUGGAGGUAGGUGGUGGUGAGCGGGAGGCGGUGGUUGACGAUCUCAAGAGAGGUUUGGGUUUUGUGGAGGCGGGAGUGACUUUAACCGAUGUCCGGCAACCUGAGGUAACCUUUGUUUCAUUCCGGCGGUGCCGAUGAGAGGGUAGAAAUCCAAUCUUUUUUCUUUAUUUUUUUAUUUUUGCUAAAUUUGGAUAUUUUCCCAUUUUGGGUUUUUGAUUUAUUGGUCUGAUUCAUCUGGGUCCCUAAACUGCCGUGUAAUUAUCAUCAUCUGGUGGGAAACGUGAUGGUUGAUGAUAAGAAAAGACCAGGUAGUUGAAACUUGAUUAUUUUUUUAAGAUGCCAUAUCAUUGUUCCUGUUUUCUUGUUGCUGGUGUUCAACUAAUUAGUUCUUGUAUAUGAUUAUUUUAUUUUGAGUAAACUGGCAAACACAAAGAUCAUAAUCUGGGGGGGGUGAUCUGUAAAUGGGGAGAUUAUUAAUAGGUUAAAUGAAAAUCAGUUGGACAAAAAUGCCCCAGCAUAAAAAGAUAAAAUAGACAGGUUGCAACAGUCAAAAAGGAGGGUUUUUGAAUUUUGGACUAAAAUGGCAAUAAAAGUGAAACCACAGGGACCCAGAUUUAAAAAGUUUGAGAUUUGGACCAAAAUGACAAAAGUGCCCAAACCACAGGGACCAAAAUGGCAGUUUACUCUUUUUAUUUUUUUCAUUUUAUAUUGUUUGUAAUCUAAAUGUUUGUUGUUUAUCAUCUAAUUCUCUAGUAUUUAAAAAAAUUAGUAUAAAACGCCAAAAACUUCAAAUAACAAAACGCCUGAUAGUGUGAAAAACUAUGAGAACGAAUGCUAGCAAAGCAGGAUGUUGCUAUAUAAAACGCCAAAGAACGCAAACAAAGUAAAAAGAAAAAUAAAAAGCCGGAAACAUUAUUGCCAAACAUUAUAGUUAUAUUAAUGCCACUACAUGGAAAACUGAAAUUUAUUUAUCUUUUCAAAACGGCAUAAUUGUCUGUCACAUUAUAGGCUUGUAUCCUACAUGGCAAAACACUAGAUAUAAAAUAAAAUUAAGAAAAUUACUGAUGUUUUUGCAUUAAAGGCAUGCAUCCUAAUCUAAAAAAACAAAUAAAAACGCCAAAACAAUACUUAAAACGCCAAAAUAUUUACUAUGAUUCUGAUCUAAAAACAAUAAAACGCCGCGUAUUUAUUAAACACCAAAAAAUGGAAAGAUGAAGUGAC
This 1321-nucleotide long non-coding RNA is filed under the name Helianthus annuus (common sunflower). RNAcentral describes it as "hypothetical non coding rna". Lineage: Eukaryota; Viridiplantae; Streptophyta; Magnoliopsida; Asterales; Asteraceae. The record is from RNAcentral.